Scylla paramamosain (green mud crab) is the source of this 713-nucleotide long non-coding RNA. RefSeq lists it as uncharacterized. The transcript has 5 exons. NCBI's taxonomy places the organism in Eukaryota, Metazoa, Arthropoda, Malacostraca, Decapoda, Portunidae. The record is from RefSeq and is a predicted model, not a curated record.
UGGGCAGCGUGGGACAUCUCAGACUCGUGAAGGAACUGCAUCUCCUGCAGCUCCAUCAGCUUGCCGUGAUCCUUGAUGUGGGCAUAGUUGGCAGCAAGACACAUCAGAUAGUGCACCUGUGGGAGAGCAAUAAGAAAUUAGAAUUGACUGAGAAACCAGAAAAGGGACUGCACUUGAAAAAGCACAAGAACCAAGAAAUUUACAUCAUUAAAUGAAAUGACAACAAAUCUAAAGCAGGAGGCGUUGCAGAAAGAGCGCGAGAUCACUGUGUUGUGGGAGAAGACAGAGUCCCUUAGUGGUCAGCUGGUGACGGUCCACAACCACAGCCACUUUGAAGAGAAUGGCCUGAGCCACCGACCACCUUGCUCAAGAAAAUAUCACGUUGACAGAGCUGAUUAAAGAACUAGAAGAUAAGCUCAAACUUUCAAAGAUAGAAAUCAAAGACGUCACAAGACAGAAUAGUGAGCUGCAUGCACUUAUCACAGAGUAUAAAGUCACUCCCUCAGAGGAAAAAGACAAGGAUGGCACCUCUUCAUGUGAGAACUCAGAAGCUAAAUGUACAGAUACCAAGGGGAAAUUGCUGGGUCAAGUGGCUACACUGACAUCUGAGGUUAGCAGGUUGGAGAGUGAGUGCAGCAGUCUUCAGGUUCAGGCUAGACUGUGAGAGGGAUAAGUAUAAACAAACUGCUGGGAGAAUCUCUUGCUCAUGAAAA